UUCAAGAUGGCGGCGCCCACGGACGGACGGACGGCAGAAGACCGGAGCCUUUUUUCAGAUAAAAAAUGCUCUCUACAACGGGGAAAAAAGCUGAAUGGGGAGCUUUGGCAUACGGAGCCUCGUUUUUCAACAUGGACAAGCUGCCGACGGGCGAAAGACGAGCUUCCUGCUGAGGACCCAGCUGCCCUGCUCUACCUCAAGACGGGGGCAUCUGCAACCCACAGUUCGUGGUUUACCAGCUGAAAGUGAAGAUCCACACAUCGAACCCGGCACACACCCGCCGCGAGGACAACCUCUCCUUUCCUUGGGAGGGGGUCAGCAGUGUCUCUGUCAACUAAAUGUGAUACAGAAAACCCGGAUCCUGACUGAGAGCUGCUGCACAUCUUACAGUGCUUCCUGCUGAGGACCCGUGGCCCUGCUCUACCACAAGACGCUAUUUGAAACCAUCCCCAUGUUCAGCCGGGGCACCUGCAACCCACAGUUCGUGGUUUAUCAGCUGAAAUUGAAGAUCCACACCUCGAACCCGGCGCACAGCAGUAAACUUAUAUAGUUUUGCCACAAUCCAUGUACUCACAAUAGACAGUCUAAUUACAACUGAGCCAGAGCCAGCCUCUGAGCCAGGACUCCUUUCAGGAACUGAUCCACACGUCGAACCCAGCCCACCCGGUUCUCACGCUGACCAAGAACGACUUGGACAAGGCCAACAAAGACAAGGCCAAAAAAAACUUCUCCCCCUCCUUCAAGGUGAAGCUGUUUAUUUGCUGUGUAUUUAAUUUGAUCUUCUUGUAACUGGUUUUGUGUUCUGUGUUCUGUGUUUGUUGUUUAUUUUAUAAUGUUCUGCGUUCUGUGUUCUGUGUUCGUUGUUUAUAACAACGAACACAGAACACAGAACAUUAUUUUAUAAUGUUCUGUGUUCUGUGUUCUGUGUUCGUUGUUAUAAACAACGAACACAGAACACAACAUUAUUUUAUAAUGUUCUGUGUUCUGUGUUCUGUGUUCUGUGUUCGUUGUUUAUAACAACGAACACAGAACACAGAACAUUAUAAAAUAAACAACAAACACAGAACACAGAACACAAAACCAGUUACAAGAAGAUCAAAUUAAAUACACAGCAAAUAAACAGCUUCACCUUGAAGGAGUGGGAGAAGUUUUUUUUGGCCUUGUCUUUGUUGGCCUUGUCCAAGUCGUUCUUGGUCAGCGUGAGAACCGGGUGGGCUGGGUUCUGUGUUCUGUGUUCUGUGUUCUGUGUUCGUUGUUUAUAACAACGAACACAGAACAUUAUUUUAUAAUGUUCUGUGUUCGUUGUUUAUAACAACGAACACAGAACACAGAACAUUAUUUUAUAAUGUUCUGUGUUCUGUGUUCUGUGUUCGUUGUUUAUAACAACGAACACAGAACACAGAACAUUAUAAAAUAAAGUUCAUUGUCCAUUUAUUUUAAUAAACACAUUUCUUUGCAAUAAAAACCUUUCUUUGUGGGCAACACUGCAAUGGGCUAUAUGCACAGCUCCAUUACUUUCUGAAGUUCAGACAGCACCUUUAUUUCCUGUGUUUCAUGAUAGGAUUAACUGAUUAAUCCAGGUGUGUCUGGCCAUUUACUGAGGACAGACACACCUGGAUUAAUCAGUUGAUCCUAUCAUGACACACAGGAAAUAAAGGUGCUGUCUGAACUUCAGGAAGUAAUGGAGCUGUGCAUAUAGCCCAUUAUGAAAUAGAUGACCCCUGGGUUUAGUCCGGGGGUCCAAACAGUUUUUCUUUUUUUUUUUUUUUUUUUUUUUUUUUUUUGGUGUAUUUAAUUUAAUCUUCGUUGUAAAUGGUUCUGUGUUCUGUGUUCGUUGUUAAUUUUAUGUAGUUCAUUGCAUUAUGAAAUAGAUGACCCCUGGGUUUAGCCCGGGGGUCCAAACAGUUUUUCUUUUUUUUUUUUUUUUUUUUUUUUUGGUGUAUUUAAUUUAAUCUUCGUUGUAAAUGGUUCUGUGUUCUGUGUUCGUUGUUAAUUUUAUGUAGUUCAUUGACCAUUUUUUUGUUUAAUAAAAACCUGUCUUUGCAAUAAAAAACUUU
Salarias fasciatus (jewelled blenny) is the source of this 2057-nucleotide long non-coding RNA. NCBI's taxonomy places the organism in Eukaryota, Metazoa, Chordata, Actinopteri, Blenniiformes, Blenniidae. The record is from Ensembl.